GACGAACCGUCCAAACGUUAUUCGGAAUCACUGGGCUUACAGAGUUCGUAGGCGGUCCGGUAAGUUAGGUGUGAAAUCCCUCGGCUCAACCGAGGAACUGCGCUUGAUACUGCCGGACUCGAGGGAGAUAGAGGAAAGCGGAACUGAUGGUGGAGCGGUGAAAUGCGUUGAUAUCAUCAGGAACACCGGUGGCGAAGGCGGCUUUCUGGGUCUCUUCUGACGCUGAGGAACGAAAGCUAGGGUAGCGAACGGG
Molecule: ribosomal RNA, 253 nt
Filed under: uncultured bacterium
Lineage: Bacteria
Also listed under: 1 other name
Description: partial 16S ribosomal RNA
Rfam family: Bacterial small subunit ribosomal RNA
Source: RNAcentral